GUCUCUAAAUAAUGCUAAGUUAACCAUUCUCCUUAAGAGUUUAUUGACCCGUUGCGUCAAUCUAAGUAACAUAAUAAAAACAUUUCCAUCAAAAUCCAUCAGUUUAAACUAGAGAUCUAUCUGCGGUGGAAGGUGGCUGAGCUACAGCAGUGUUGAUCAGACAAUGAGACAGCCCAUCUGCGGUGGAAGGUGGCUGAGCUACAGCAGUGUUGAUCAGACAAUGCGACAGCCCAUCUGCGGUGGAAGGUGGCCGAGCUACAGCAGUGUUGAUCAGACAAUGAGACAGCCCAUCUGCGGUGGAAGGUGGCCAAGCUACAGCAGUGUUGAUCAGACAAUGAGACAGCCCAUCUGCGGUGGAAGGUGGCUGAGCUACAG
Molecule: long non-coding RNA, 375 nt
Filed under: Salmo salar (Atlantic salmon)
Lineage: Eukaryota; Metazoa; Chordata; Actinopteri; Salmoniformes; Salmonidae
Description: lncRNA (ENSSSAG00000094373.1)
Source: RNAcentral